RNAcentral lists this ribosomal RNA (465 nucleotides) under Vreelandella stevensii. RNAcentral describes it as "partial 16S ribosomal RNA". It matches the Rfam family "Bacterial small subunit ribosomal RNA", at positions 338 to 795 of the family's 1533-position model. The record is from RNAcentral. Lineage: Bacteria; Pseudomonadati; Pseudomonadota; Gammaproteobacteria; Oceanospirillales; Halomonadaceae.
CCUACGGGGGGCAGCAGUGGGGAAUAUUGGACAAUGGGGGGAACCCUGAUCCAGUCAUGCCGCGUGUGUGAAGAAGGCCCUCGGGUUGUAAAGCACUUUCAGUGAGGAAGAACGCCUGGUGGUUAAUACCCAUCAGGAAAGACAUCACUCACAGAAGAAGCACCGGCUAACUCCGUGCCAGCAGCCGCGGUAAUACGGAGGGUGCGAGCGUUAAUCGGAAUUACUGGGCGUAAAGCGCGCGUAGGUGGCUUGAUAAGCCGGUUGUGAAAGCCCCGGGCUCAACCUGGGAACGGCAUCCGGAACUGUCAAGCUAGAGUGCAGGAGAGGAAGGUAGAAUUCCCGGUGUAGCGGUGAAAUGCGUAGAGAUCGGGAGGAAUACCAGUGGCGAAGGCGGCCUUCUGGACUGACACUGACACUGAGGUGCGAAAGCGUGGGUAGCAAACAGGAUUAGAUACCCCUGUAGUC